AACACAUGCAAGUCGAGCGCGAAAACACUUCGGUGUGAGUAGAGCGGCGGACGGGUGAGUAAUGCUUGGGAAUCUGCCCAGUAGUGGGGGAUAACGUGUGGAAACGCACGCUAAUACCGCAUACGUCCUACGGGAGAAAGCAGGGGAUCUUCGGACCUUGCGCUAUUGGAUGAGCCCAAGUCGGAUUAGCUAGUUGGUGGGGUAAUGGCCUACCAAGGCGACGAUCCGUAGCUGGUCUGAGAGGAUGAUCAGCCACACUGGGACUGAGACACGGCCCAGACUCCUACGGGAGGCAGCAGUGGGGAAUAUUGCACAAUGGGCGAAAGCCUGAUGCAGCCAUGCCGCGUGUGUGAAGAAGGCUCUAGGGUUGUAAAGCACUUUCAGUAGGGAGGAAAAGCUUAAGGUUAAUAACCUUGAGCCCUGACGUUACCUACAGAAGAAGCACCGGCAAACUCCGUGCCAGCAGCCGCGGUAAUACGGAGGGUGCGAGCGUUAAUCGGAAUUACUGGGCGUAAAGCGCGCGUAGGUGGUUUGAUAAGCUAGCUGUGAAAGCCCCGGGCUCAACCUGGGAACUGCAGUUAGAACUGUCUGACUAGAGUACAGUAGAGGGUGGCGGAAUUUCCUGUGUAGCGGUGAAAUGCGUAGAUAUAGGAAGGAACAUCAGUGGCGAAGGCGGCCACCUGGACUGA
RNAcentral lists this ribosomal RNA (689 nucleotides) under gamma proteobacterium IMCC14801. RNAcentral describes it as "bacterial SSU rRNA". It matches the Rfam family "Bacterial small subunit ribosomal RNA", at positions 50 to 737 of the family's 1533-position model. The record is from RNAcentral. Lineage: Bacteria; Pseudomonadati; Pseudomonadota; Gammaproteobacteria.